This is a long non-coding RNA of Triticum aestivum (bread wheat), 3817 nucleotides long. RefSeq lists it as uncharacterized. The transcript has 4 exons. NCBI's taxonomy places the organism in Eukaryota, Viridiplantae, Streptophyta, Magnoliopsida, Poales, Poaceae. The record is from RefSeq and is a predicted model, not a curated record.
UCGUCUGAUUUGUUUCCUUCCCAAUCGAUCUCCUUCACGAUUUCCCCCAAAAAGCAAAUCCUCCCCUUCCUUUCAAUUUUUUCCAAACCCGAUCGCCAACCCAUCAUGUCCGUAGCCAUGGAAGAGAGAGGAGGGAGAGGGGAGAGGGAAGCGCGGCGGCCUCUGGUCCAUCAGACGGGAAAAGGACAUGCCUAUGCACUACCGCCCGCCACGCCGCUGCCGCCGCUCGCGUGGUCAUUCUCCUCCGUCCAUCCCCAACUCCAACUCGAUCUCCAGCUACCGCGACACCGCAGAUGGCCAGUCUGGGACUCUGGGUACACGCACCCGCCGCUCAUCAGAUAAGAUACCGCUGCGCCCGUCCUCCGGCCAAGAUCGACGAGACCACUCGAUCGCGUGGAGCUGGACAUAGGGCACUGCAUCCGCAAUGACGAGAAGCAGGUCGUACGCCACUGAAGUAUAGGAGCACCGCCGCCAGGUAAGCCUGCAAGCAGGAUGUCGUGCUCCAGGCCCUCCCUUCCACCUUCGGUCCAGAAGAUCCUGCACGGCUGCACCAAGCCUGCUUCUCAUGUUGAUGAUGCGCUCUUCAAGGAUGUAGUGCUGCAUGGGUUCCGGCGCAUGGGGAUGGCAAGAUCUGCAUCGUCCACAUCAUCGACGCGCAGUUGUGCUUUAGUUUGUUAGCUUGGAUGGGUUUGUGGCCUCGCCUCAUUAGGUCCGAGGACAAAAGUGCAUGGCGAAUAGAUACAUGCAGCACGGGACCCAAAAAAAAUUAGGUACAUUUUGCUGAUCCAAAAAUUAUGUUAUACACUAGAUCAAUUAUCUCGUCGAGCCGCCGGCACUGUCCCUGGACUCCAAUUCCAUGCAUGAUGGAUUUCGCUAUUGUACCAAGUAUUUGCUGAAUUUAUUGGCAUUCAUUCAUAUUAUUGGCCGGCGGUUAUGGUUUUCUGUUUUAUAGACUGAACCUUCAAGGGUCGCCAAGUUCAGUUUUAGAACAAAAGUUGCGGGAUAAGCUGGACAGCUGAAUGCGCAAGAUAGAUGAUGUUUGGAAUUUGGAUCAUGAGCUUCCAACAAUGACCGUGCGAGAUGCUGGACAUGGCGUGCAAGGCCGAUGUUGAUGGCGACACAUAUACUCAUCAGCUGCACUACUACACGUCAGGGAGGAGGAAGCUAGGGAACCCAUAUUUGAAACAGGAGAGCAAGGAAAGGUUUAAUGGUUACUGAUGAAACCAUUAAUCAAUAAUAAUGGUGAUUAGUUGUUCUUGAAUCACAAUUAAUCCUUGCAUAACUCCAUGUGUUGCUCUCUUGAGUGGGUGACCUGUGACCUGUUCUAUACAAAAGAAUAAUGGUGUGCAGUUUCAGUGGUGAGUGGACGCGAUAUGGCCGCAGACUAUAUUUAUCCUAUCAAACCAUCGGUAACUGAAAACUAAUCAUGUUGGUUGCAACGGGGGCAGCCUUAUAUUCCCCAAUGAUGUUUGUGUAAAUGCUAUAUCUAUUUAUUGUUCAAAAAACUUGCCUGUGUGCAGUUUUUCAUGCAUGACACUACAGAACCAAGUAUUGGUAGAUUUGGUAAUGCUUUAUUUAAAGUUCUUGUGUACAUCAGACUGACUAUUACCACAAACAUGCCAUUUAUAGCAUUUGAUGGGAGCCAAUGCCAAGGACUUUUUGUGUCCCCAUUUCUUUAGCAUCAUCAUGUUUAGUCAUUCCAAUUUUAGAAUCUCAUAAUGUGAUGCCUAAUUACUUUGACCGAAUAUGAAUACAGUGAUUUGUUGUAAUUUACAGAACAUUUUUUUGAUAUGAUGAGUUGUUUGCAAUGUCUGCUUACUGUGUUUACAGGACACCAGAUUUCAAUACCCCUUUGUAAUAAUUUCUUAGGUGAUUUGUUGGACAAGCACACACCCAGAUUUUGGGGAUUAAUAACAUCAGUAUGCAACUACAUCAGGGUUGUCAUUCGUCGCGCUCCGUUCCUGCCCCACUGCCACUGCCGCCGACAUGGUCUCUGCCCAAGUGCUGCCUCUGGGUUGCUAUUCUCCAUGCUCACGCCUUGCCUCUAGAUCGCCAUUCAUUACGCCUCCACUCGUUGUUGCCGGCAUGCUGAGAAGCUUCAAUGGAGCCUACUGGUUAAGGACGCAAGGCAACUCAGUUUCCCAGUGAGAUCAAUCAACACAUGCUUCAGUCACUUGGCGUCGCCAGCUUUCAUACAAUUGCCCAAUGACCCUUUGAUUUAAUUUUGCCUCUGAUUCUCAGCUACUCAAGUGGUUACCAAAAUAAAGGUUAGACAUUUUUACUGUUCUUGAUGUGAGGUUACUAAUGGAGCACCAAUUAUAGCCAUUGUGGACUUGGUAUCCAAAUUUUUAGCCGGUUUGAACAGAAUGAGAAUUUAUUAUGUUUGUUCAUAAGUUAUUCGGAUAACCAGAGUGACCUUUUCUGUUCAUGAUAUCAUCAUAAAAGUUGUGGCACUUGCCUUAAGUAAUUCCCCUGAAGCAAAUGGAAUGCAACAAGUUUUUUUGCCAAUUAAGUUUCUCUGUUUUAUAAGACAACUAGCUUUUGCUGUAAAUCCGAUGUAUUAGAUGCAAGCCUUCUUGGUUUACAUAUUUAUUGGCUAAAAAAUAUUUUGUGUUUCAAUGUACACGAGGGACUGAUGAGAGGUAUUAUAUGGAGAAUAUCACCAAGCUGAUAGUAGUGUAACCUUGAACAUACACAUGAUGAUUAGUCAAUAGAUAUUGCAUUGGAGUUUCUCUUUUUCAAAGUCUGCUCCGACCAAGCACUUACAUGUUCAGGUACAUAUGUUGGGUUAUGUCAAGUACUUUUUUAGUCUCUGCUUUUGUAAAUCUCUUGUGAAUUUUCAAUUGCGAAAUGUCUGGGACAAAUCUGAAGGAAGAAGUUCAGAAGUGUGAUUCAGUGAUAUAUUGAUCUUGCUGCAGAAGAAGGUAUGCAUAAUUGUACACAAAAGUUUGUAUCAACAUAUUUUGAUGUAUGCAAUGACAGUCCUUGCUAUUCUAGGGCCUGAGAGGUCUCUAUGAUAGGAACUGUAGAUUGUUAAACCAUAACAACAAUAUCUUUCAUAGGUAUGACAAAGGGUCAGAAGUUUAAGCAGAAUUUCUUCAGCGGCAUGCUUGUAUUGCAUCGUCAAAGUUGUUUGCAUGCAAAUCUUAGUUUGAACCAGAAUCAAGGUUGAAUUCGGAAGCACCAAAAAAUACACAUCUCAAAGGAGGGUUAGAAGAUUGUGAGCUAGAUGUACCAUCAACACGGUGGUGAGCAUAUUGGGGAGACCGCGAAGUGAUUGGUGUGUAUGAAGAUCCUAGCUGCAUUUUUUAACUAAAAUGUUUGUAUUUUUUGGUCCUUGCCUGUAUGUAUGGAAAAAGCACUUGUGGGUCCAUCUGAUUACAACUAUGAAUUUCUUGUUUGAAAUGUUGAGUUUUAAAACCCAAGUCUUAUGGUCUAUACUUUGUUAUGGAGAGAAACCAAACCAGAUGAUGGUUGCAACUAAUUGUACAUUCCUACUAUGUUUGCGACAAGAGCAUGUUGGUGCUAUGUACUCUCUGUUUCUCUUGUUGCAUCAAUGUUUUGAGCACCGGUCCCUUCUGUCUGGUUUGCGUAAGUGUUUUGAGCACUGGUCCUUUUUUCUGGUUAGAGGCAGAGGGAUGGGAGGGAGAGAUGUUAGAUGUGAUUAUCAUUGUGCGACUAAAAUAUGUUGUUGCUGCUGUUGCGUAGAUGAGAGAGAGAGAGAGAGAGAGAUCUUGUGUUGUAUUGUUUGCUCAUGUAUUUAUUUGAUACAAUGUGAAUAGCCGCAUGGAUUUGUGGAGUGAGGGGAACACCGAUU